This 253-nucleotide ribosomal RNA is filed under the name uncultured bacterium. RNAcentral describes it as "partial 16S ribosomal RNA". It matches the Rfam family "Bacterial small subunit ribosomal RNA", at positions 524 to 776 of the family's 1533-position model. The record is from RNAcentral.
GACGUAGGGGGCGAGCGUUGUCCGGAGUUACUGGGCGUAAAGCGCCCGCAGGCGGUCGUGCGCGUUGGGGGGGACAGCCGGUGGCUCAACUGCCGGAGGCCUCCCAAGACGGCAGGACUGGAGGGCCUCAGAGGGACAUGGAACUCCCGGUGGAGCGGUGAAAUGCGUAGAGAUCGGGAAGAACACCAAAGGCGAAGGCAGUGUCCUGGGAGGUACCUGACGCUCGGGGGCGAAGGCCAGGGGAGCGAACGGG